CACAGCCACAUCAUAAUAGAUCUCCUUAGAAACCUCUGGAAGUUUCUCUGCCUCUUCACGUUUCUUUCGCCUCACGGCUUUGCUGCGUAGGGAUGAACGGGUGGAGAGAUUAGAAGAUCUUAAAUGCCAGCUCCUGAUCUGUCUUCUUCAUCAGAAUCUGUGGCCUCCUCAAAGAGGGUCUUCUUCUGGGGUGCAGGGGUUUCUUCAUCUUCAUCGUCAGAAUCAAACACGAUAUGCUUUCCUUUGUUUGCAUUUGGGAUGUCCUUAAAAAUAUUUUUUAUACACAUCAAUAAACAUUAAAAGUUAA
Molecule: long non-coding RNA, 307 nt
Organism: Pygocentrus nattereri (red-bellied piranha)
Lineage: Eukaryota; Metazoa; Chordata; Actinopteri; Characiformes; Serrasalmidae
Exons: 2
Source: RefSeq, a predicted model, not a curated record